AGAGUUUGAUCCUGGCUCAGGACGAACGCUGGCGGCGUGGAUUAGGCAUGCAAGUCGGACGGUAGGGCUUUAUCGUAAGAUAGAGUUUGAGAGUGGCGAACGGGUGAGUAACACGUAGGAAUCUACCCUUAAGACGGGGACAACCCAGGGAAACUUGGGCUAAUACCGGAUGAGAGUGCGAGAGAUUGCAUUUAAAAGGAUGGCGAAAGUUGUCGCUUAGGGAUGAGCCUGCGGUCUAUUAGUUAGUUGGUGAGGUAAGAGCUCACCAAGGCGAUGAUAGAUAGGCGGCCUUAACGGGUGGUCGCCCACACUGGGAUUGAGAUACGGCCCAGACUCCUACGGGAGGCAGCAGUCGAGAAUAGUCUACAAUGGCCGGAAGGCUGAUAGUGCGACGCCGCGUGAACGAGGGAGCCCUUCGGGGUGUAAAGUUCUUUUCUAUACGAGCAGUGCUAUAUAUAUGGAUAGUAUAUAUAGAGGGAUAGUAGUAUAGGAAUAAGCAACGGCUAACUCCGUGCCAGCAGCCGCGGUAACACGGGGGUUGCGAGCGUUGUCCGGAAUUACUAGGCGUAAAGGGCAGGUAGGCGGAUCUACGAGUUUUUUGUUAAAGGCUACGGCUCAACUGUAGUAGAGCAGGAGAUACUGUAGGUCUGGAAUGCGGUAGGGGAAGACAGAAUUCCUGGUGUAGCGGUGGAAUGCGCAGAGAUCAGGAGGAAUACCGAAGGCGAAGGCAGUCUUCUAGGCCGUAAUUGACGCUUAACUGCGAAGGUGUGGGGAUCAAACAGGAUUAGAUACCCUGGUAGUCCACACAGUAAACGAUAAUCACUAGAUGUCGGGUUCUAGAUGGAUUCGGUGUCGGAGCUAACGCGAUAAGUGAUUCGCCUGGGGAGUACG
Molecule: ribosomal RNA, 891 nt
Filed under: uncultured bacterium
Lineage: Bacteria
Description: bacterial SSU rRNA
Rfam family: Bacterial small subunit ribosomal RNA
Source: RNAcentral